RNAcentral lists this ribosomal RNA (468 nucleotides) under uncultured bacterium. RNAcentral's name for it is "partial 16S ribosomal RNA". It matches the Rfam family "Bacterial small subunit ribosomal RNA", at positions 28 to 507 of the family's 1533-position model. The record is from RNAcentral.
GACGAACGCUGGCGGCGUGCUUAACACAUGCAAGUCGAACGGAAAGGCCCUGCUUUUGUGGGGUGCUCGAGUGGCGAACGGGUGUGUAACACGUGAGUAACCUGCCCUUGACUUUGGGAUAACUUCAUGAAACUGGGUAUAAUAUCGGAUAGGAGCUCCUGCGGCAUGGUGGGUGUUGGAGAGUUUCGGCGUUUGGGCAUGGACGCGCGGUUUAUCAGCGUGUUGGUGGGUUAGUGGCUUACCAAGGCAUUGACGGGUAGCCGGACUGAGAGGGUGACCGGCCACAGUGGGACUGAGAUGCGGCCCAGACGCCUACGGGAGGCAGCAGGGGGGAAUAGUGCAAAAUGGGCGGAAGGAGGAUGCAGCAACGCCGCGUGGGGGAUGACGGCCGUCGGGUUGGAAACCGUGUGCGCCUGGGACGAAGCGUGAGUGACGGUAAUGGGUAAAGAAGCACCGGCUAACUACGUG